AACAUCUAAGUACCCCGAGGAAAAGAAAUCAACCGAGAUUCCGAAAGUAGCGGCGAGCGAAAUUGGACUAGCCCUUAAGCUUUACACGCGUUAGACGAACGGUCUGGAAAGUCCGACGAUACAGGGUGAUAGUCCCGUAGUUGACGACGUGUGUUCAGUGAAAUCGAGUAGGGCGGGACACGUGAUAUCCUGUCUGAAUAUGGGGGGACCAUCCUCCAAGGCUAAAUACUACUGACUGACCGAUAGUGAACCAGUACCGUGAGGGAAAGGCGAAAAGAACCCCUGUGAGGGGAGUGAAAUAGAACCUGAAACCGUGUACGUACAAGCAGUA
This 331-nucleotide ribosomal RNA is filed under the name Vibrio parahaemolyticus. RNAcentral describes it as "partial 23S ribosomal RNA". It matches the Rfam family "Bacterial large subunit ribosomal RNA", at positions 197 to 575 of the family's 2925-position model. The record is from RNAcentral. Lineage: Bacteria; Pseudomonadati; Pseudomonadota; Gammaproteobacteria; Vibrionales; Vibrionaceae.